AGAGUUUGAUCAUGGCUCAGGAUGAACGCUGGCGACGUGGAUAAGGCAUGCAAGUCGAACGGACUUUAUUUUUCUGAUGAUGCGAUUAUAUCAAGUCAAAAGUCGUUUAAAGUUAGUGGCGAACGAGGUAGUAAUACAUAGGAACUUCCCCCUAAGUCGCGAACAACGCACCGAAAGGUGAGCUAAUACACGAUAGUCUCUCCGGAGUAAAGUUUUUCGCUUAGGGAAAGGCCUGUGAAGUAUCAGCUAGUUGGCGGUGUAAAGGACCACCAAGGCUAUGACGCUUAGGGGAGCUGAGAGGCUGACCCCCACCGAUGGGACUGAGACACGGCCCAUACACCUACGGGUGGCUGCAGUCGAGAAUCUUCCGCAAUGGACGAAAGUCUGACGGAGCGACGCCGCGUGAUUGAUGAAAUUCUUACGAAUGUAAAGAUCUUUUAUGAGGGAAGAAGUUUAUUGACGGUACCUCAUGAAUAAGGGGCUCCUAAUCUCGUGCCAGCAGGAGCGGUAAUACGAGAGCCCCGAGCGUUAUCCGGAAUUAUUGGGCGUAAAGGGUGCGUAGGUGGUUGUAUUAGUCGUUUGUCAAAUCUUCAGGCUUAACCUGAAAUCCGUGAACGAAACGGUACAACUAGAGAAUGCGAGAGGUGUACAGAACUUAUGGUGUAGGGGUGAAAUCCGUUGAUAUCAUAGGGAAUACCAAAAGCGAAGGCAGUACACUGGCGCAUAUCUGACAUUCAAGCACGAAAGCGUGGGUAGCGAAUGGGAUUAGAUACCCCAGUAGUCCACGCCCUA
Molecule: ribosomal RNA, 792 nt
Filed under: uncultured bacterium
Lineage: Bacteria
Description: bacterial SSU rRNA
Rfam family: Bacterial small subunit ribosomal RNA
Source: RNAcentral